CUUUGACACUUCCUCUGAUCUCAGAUCAAAUAACCCUUUAACUUAUUCUAAUUCUCAGAUUCUCUCUUCCCCCAAUUGGCGGCAACUGUUUAUUCAUCCCUUCAAUCCCUUAAUUUUGAGAAAUGGAGCGAUGGGCUAUGAGAUGUGUGGUGAUGAUGGCGUUUGUUGGGGUAUUGCUGUUGAAUUUGAGAGAAUCAGAAGGGAUUAGGUUUGUGAUAGACAGGGAAGAAUGUUUCUCUCACAAUGUUCAAUACGAGGGAGAUACUGUCCAUGUUUCUUUUGUUGUAAUCAAGGCAGAUUCACCUUGGCACUAUGGCGAUGAUGGAGUUGAUCUUGUGAUUAAGGGCCCUUCUGGUGAACAUCUUCAUGAUUUCCGUGACAAGACUAGCGAAAAGCAUGAUUUUAUUGCUCACAACAAAGGCCUUCAUCGAUUCUGCUUCACGAACAAGUCUCCGUAUCACGAAACCAUCGACUUUGAUGUGCACGUUGGCCACUUUUCUUACCAUGAGCAGCAUGCAAAAGAUGAGCAUUUCAACCCUUUGCUGGAUCAAAUAUCUAAGUUGGAG
This 566-nucleotide unclassified non-coding RNA is filed under the name Hevea brasiliensis (rubber tree). Lineage: Eukaryota; Viridiplantae; Streptophyta; Magnoliopsida; Malpighiales; Euphorbiaceae. The record is from RNAcentral.